CUGAGGCUACCCCCUGGGUUCAGGUUCCACCCUACUGAUGAGGAGCUUCUCGUCCAAUACCUUAGAAGGUCUUUUCAUUCCCUCUCCCCGCCGCCGUCAUUCCCGAGAUCAAUCUCGAAAACCACGACCCUUGGGAUCUGCCCGGUCCGUAUUAUUACUAUUUUUUUUAUUAAUUUUCAUUUCAUUGCGUAUUGACUUAAAGUAUCACUCGUUUACGUACUUACGUGCGUACUUAGGCGGCGGAGAUGAGGCGGAGGAGGAGGAGAGGUACUUUUUUAAUCUGAGACAAUCGAAUUGCGCGAAAAAGGGCAACCGGUCGGCCCGGCCGACGAGGUCCGGCUACUGGAAGGCCACGGGGAAGGACCGAC
RNAcentral lists this long non-coding RNA (368 nucleotides) under Ananas comosus (pineapple). RNAcentral's name for it is "long non-coding RNA (ACOM_LNC002709)". Lineage: Eukaryota; Viridiplantae; Streptophyta; Magnoliopsida; Poales; Bromeliaceae. The record is from RNAcentral.